UACGUAGGGUGCAAGCGUUAAUCGGAAUUACUGGGCGUAAAGCGUGCGCUAGACGGUGAUGUAAGACAGUUGUCGAAAUCCCGGGCUCAACCUCGGGAACUGCAUCUGUGACUGCAUCGCUGGAGUGCGGCAGAGGGGGAUGGAAUUCCGCGUGUAGCAGUGAAAUGCGUAGAUAUGCGGAGGAACACCGGAUGGCGAAGGCAAUCCCCUGGGCUUGCACAGACGCUCGAU
This 231-nucleotide ribosomal RNA is filed under the name uncultured bacterium. Its description in RNAcentral is "partial 16S ribosomal RNA". It matches the Rfam family "Bacterial small subunit ribosomal RNA", at positions 524 to 750 of the family's 1533-position model. The record is from RNAcentral.